This 277-nucleotide unclassified non-coding RNA is filed under the name Hevea brasiliensis (rubber tree). The record is from RNAcentral. Lineage: Eukaryota; Viridiplantae; Streptophyta; Magnoliopsida; Malpighiales; Euphorbiaceae.
GCCAAUGCAGCAAGCAAGAAGCAGCUGAAAAAAGUGAAGGCUAUAGAGACAGCAACAUGGUCACAGAAGUAGUGUAAGGGCUUGCAGAAAUUUGGCAAAGGGGCAUGUUGGAUUCCUGUGCGGUUCAGGUUGGUGACCCCUGAUGCAGCAGCCCCAGCACCAAUCAUUGCAUAUGCAAACACCUGAUCGCCUGCAAAAAUAAGCCAUGCAUGACUUCUUGAUGUAAUCACUGGAGAUUUUCUAAGCAACCUUGACAUGCUAAUUAGCAGUUGCAGCA